AGAGUUUGAUUCUGGCUCAGGAUGAACGCCGGCGGUGUGCCUAAUACAUGCAAGUCGUACGCACUGGCCCAACUGAUUGAUGGUGCUUGCACCUGAUUGACGAUGGAUCACCAGUGAGUGGCGGACGGGUGAGUAACACGUAGGUAACCUGCCUCGGAGCGGGGGAUAACAUUUGGAAACAGAUGCUAAUACCGCAUAACAACAAAAGCCACAUGGCUUUUGUUUGAAAGAUGGCUUUGGCUAUCACUCUGGGAUGGACCUGCGGUGCAUUAGCUAGUUGGUAAGGUAACGGCUUACCAAGGCAAUGAUGCAUAGCCGAGUUGAGAGACUGAUCGGCCACAAUGGAACUGAGACACGGUCCUUACUCCUACGGGAGGCAGCAGUAGGGAAUCUUCCACAAUGGGCGCAAGCCUGAUGGAGCAACACCGCGUGAGUGAAGAAGGGUUUCGGCUCGUAAAGCUCUGUUGUUGGAGAAGAACGUGCGUGAGAGUAACUGUUCACGCAGUGACGGUAUCCAACCAGAAAGUCACGGCUAACUACGUGCCAGCAGCCGCGGUAAUACGUAGGUGGCAAGCGUUAUCCGGAUUUAUUGGGCGUAAAGCGAGCGCAGGCGGUUGCUUAGGUCUGAUGUGAAAGCCUUCGGCUUAACCGAAGAAGUGCAUCGGAAACCGGGCGACUUGAGUGCAGAAGAGGACAGUGGAACUCCAUGUGUAGCGGUGGAAUGCGUAGAUAUAUGGAAGAACACCAGUGGCGAAGGCGGCUGUCUGGUCUGCAACUGACGCUGAGGCUCGAAAGCAUGGGUAGCGAACAGGAUUAGAUACCCUGGUAGUCCAUGCCGUAAACGAUGAGUGCUAGGUGUUGGAGGGUUUCCGCCCUUCAGUGCCGGAGCUAACGCAUUAAGCACUCUGCCUGGGGAGUACGACCGCAAGGUUGAAACUCAAAGGAAUUGACGGGGGCCCGCACAAGCGGUGGAGCAUGUGGUUUAAUUCGAAGCUACGCGAAGAACCUUACCAGGUCUUGACAUCCAGUGCAAACCUAAGAGAUUAGGUGUUCCCUUCGGGGACGCUGAGACAGGUGGUGCAUGGCUGUCGUCAGCUCGUGUCGUGAGAUGUUGGGUUAAGUCCCGCAACGAGCGCAACCCUUGUCAUUAGUUGCCAUCAUUAAGUUGGGCACUCUAAUGAGACUGCCGGUGACAAACCGGAGGAAGGUGGGGAUGACGUCAAGUCAUCAUGCCCCUUAUGACCUGGGCUACACACGUGCUACAAUGGACGGUACAACGAGAAGCGAACCUGCGAAGGCAAGCGGAUCUCUUAAAGCCGUUCUCAGUUCAGACUGUAGGCUGCAACUCGCCUACACGAAGCUGGAAUCGCUAGUAAUCGCGGAUCAGCACGCCGCGGUGAAUACGUUCCCGGGCCUUGUACUCACCGCCCGUCA
This 1434-nucleotide ribosomal RNA is filed under the name uncultured bacterium. Its description in RNAcentral is "bacterial SSU rRNA". It matches the Rfam family "Bacterial small subunit ribosomal RNA". The record is from RNAcentral.